RNAcentral lists this ribosomal RNA (253 nucleotides) under uncultured bacterium. RNAcentral describes it as "partial 16S ribosomal RNA". It matches the Rfam family "Bacterial small subunit ribosomal RNA", at positions 524 to 776 of the family's 1533-position model. The record is from RNAcentral.
UACGGGGGGGGCAAGCGUUGUUCGGAAUUACUGGGCGUAAAGGGCUCGUAGGUGGCCAACUAAGUCAGACGUGAAAUCCCCAGGCUCAACCUGGGAACUGCGUCUGAUACUGGAUGGCUUGAAUUCGGGAGAGGGAUGCAGAAUUCCAGGUGUAGCGGUGAAAUGCGUAGAUAUCGAGAGGAACACCGGUGGCGAAGGCGGCCAACUGGACGAAUACUGACGCUGAGACACGAAAGCGUGGGGAGCAAACAGG